RNAcentral lists this ribosomal RNA (253 nucleotides) under uncultured bacterium. Its description in RNAcentral is "partial 16S ribosomal RNA". It matches the Rfam family "Bacterial small subunit ribosomal RNA", at positions 524 to 776 of the family's 1533-position model. The record is from RNAcentral.
UACGUAGGUGGCAAGCGUUGUCCGGAUUUACUGGGCGUAAAGAGCGCGCAGGCGGCCAGGUCAGUCGAAUGUGAAAGCCCCCGGCUUAACUGGGGAGGGUCAUUCGAUACUGCUCGGCUCGAAGACAGGAGAGGGAAGCGGAAUUCCCGGUGUAGUGGUGAAAUGCGUAGAUAUCGGGAGGAACACCAGUGGCGAAGGCGGCUUUCUGGCCUGUUCUUGACGCUGAGGCGCGAAAGCUAGGGGAGCAAACGGG